GACGAACGCUGGCGGCGUGCUUAACACAUGCAAGUCGAACGGAAAGGCCCUGCUUUUGUGGGGUGCUCGAGUGGCGAACGGGUGAGUAACACGUGAGUAACCUGCCCUUGACUUUGGGAUAACUUCAGGAAACUGGUGCUAAUACCGGAUAGGAGCUCCUGCUGCAUGGUGGGGGUUGGAAAGUUUCGGCGGUUGGGGAUGGACUCGCGGCUUAUCAGCUUGUUGGUGGGGUAGUGGCUUACCAAGGCUUUGACGGGUAGCCGGCCUGAGAGGGUGACCGGCCACAUUGGGACUGAGAUACGGCCCAGACUCCUACGGGAGGCAGCAGUGGGGGAUAUUGCACAAUGGGCGGAAGCCUGAUGCAGCAACGCCGCGUGCGGGAUGACGGCCUUCGGGUUGUAAACCGCUUUCGCCUGUGACGAAGCGUGAGUGACGGUAAUGGGUAAAGAAGCACCGGCUAACUACGUG
Molecule: ribosomal RNA, 468 nt
Filed under: uncultured bacterium
Lineage: Bacteria
Description: partial 16S ribosomal RNA
Rfam family: Bacterial small subunit ribosomal RNA
Source: RNAcentral